RNA transcript from Herpailurus yagouaroundi (jaguarundi), 2195 nucleotides. RefSeq lists it as uncharacterized. The record is from RefSeq and is a predicted model, not a curated record. Lineage: Eukaryota; Metazoa; Chordata; Mammalia; Carnivora; Felidae. The transcript is spliced from 7 exons.
UGGAACCUCCCCCCCAACCCCAGAUGCAGGCCAGACUGAAGCCCUGAGGCCUGCCUGUGGACAGCAGGAGAGACCAGAGAACACAGAAGAAGGGUCAGAGAGAUCCAAACCGCCAAGGGCCAAGCCUGAACCUGGGAGGGAGACCAACAGACUUCCAGGUGGCCAUGGAGGUGCCUGGAAAGAGGGGCUAAAAGCAGUUGGUGACUGUUUAGUGCAUCUGGGGACUGGUCUUACGCUGCAUCCCCACAUGUCCCAGAGGCCCCAGUCUGGACCCCAGAGCACCCAGCCAGGUUUCCUUCCAGGAGCUCCCAGUAAUACUCAAAAUGAGACCGAAGUCUCUCCACCAAUUACUUACAGGCCCCAGGUCAGAAUCCAAGACUCUCAGCCCAUUAUCAACAGUGGCCGGGUCAGCAUCCAAGAGCCCCCGCCCAUUAUCCAUAAUCGCCGGGUCAGCAUCCAAGAGCCCCCGCUCAUUAUCCAUAAUCGCCGGGCCAGCAUCCAAGGGCCCCCACCCAUUAUCAACAGUCACCGGGUCAGCAUCCAAGAACCCUUGUCCAUUAUCCACAAUCGCCGGGUCAGCAUCCAAGACCCUCCACUAGUCCACAGUCGCUGGGCCAGUAUCCAAGAUGCGCCACCCAUUAUCAACAGUUGCUGGGUCAGUACUGAGGACACGCCAUCCACUGUGAGCGGUCAUCGGUUCAGCAUCCAAGAUACACCGUCAGUUACCUACAGUCACCGUUUGAAGACCCAAGAUGUUCCACCAAUUCUCCAAACUCGCCACUUCAGCAUCCAAAGCUCUCUAUUACUUCCUCACGUCUCCCUGAACAAUGUAGAGUCCCUUAACUACAAUAGUAGUCAAGUCCGUAGCCAAGACCACCUUCCAACAAGUCAGAGUCCUUGUUUGAGUACUCAAUGCCUCACAUUGCCAAUCCGGGCCAAAGUCGAUGUCCCCCCUUCAAUUACUCACAGCCCCACGGCCAGUGUCAAAAGCACUGAUUCAAUCAUCUGGACCACCCAGGAGAGUUUCAAAGACUCUAUGGACAGCUCCCUAUACAACCCAAGUGCUCUAGACAACAAUAUCCAGAGCAUACGAUCAAGCAGAUCUGCUGAGAUGGAUUCUGGCGGGUGUCAGAGAAGGAGUAAAUGCAGCUAUUCACAGCUGCCCAUGGGCUGGCGGCUGCUGCAUGGAGCCAAGAAGAUCAGCCGUCAGGUGAGCCUGGCACUGAGCCUGGCUGGCAUGGUGAUCAUCGGUCUCAUCACCCUGGGCCAGCCCUGGAUCCACUUCCAGGUUCCACUGACACCCCCUGGGGAUCCUGAUGGCCCCUCGACCAUCCCCAUCAACACCAUCUUCUUUGUGCAGUGCCCUGACAUCUCCUGCCUUCACGAGUACGACCAGAAUGCUUAUUUGUUGGACUUUGCCUGGGCCUUUCUCAUCCUCGCCAGUAUUGCCGGCUUCUGCCUCUGCAUCAUGCUCAUAAACAUCAUCUUCUUCACCAGCUCCAACUUACCUGUGCUGGACUUCUCCAACGUCAUCAUCAGCAUCCUGACAGGGGCCAGCAUGAUACUGGGCAUCCUGUUCUACCUGAUGCAGGCCCAUGAGUACCUGCAGGAAGGCAUGACCUACACUCUGGGGCUCAGCUUCUACCUGGCGUGGACCGGCAUCUUUCUCUUCCUGAUGAGUGGUUUCCUUUCCUAUCUGAACUACAUGAACUUCUGGUCCAUCCUGGCGCUCCAGGCCAUCUGGACUUGAUGGCGCUCCAGGACGCAGGAAUGACCCCACCGCUGGCCUGCUCCCACAGCUCCCUGCCAAGCUCUCAAAUUUGUUCCUCUUUAAUGAAAAUAAGCUGCAACUAUAUGCCAGAGACUGGAUCUAUAGCAGUGAUCAAACUAGACACACAUCCUUGUUUUUAUGGCUUCACAUUUCCGCAGGGAGGCAAAACAGAUCUGUUAGGGACUAUAAGCUUCGUGGGAGGUGUCUCCUCACCGGAAGAAGACAACCCAACGUUGUGUUGUCUUCUAAACAAUGUGUGUUCCACUCACAGAAGGGAAUAUUUGGCCCCCGUUUAAGGAAUGAGGUCACUCUGUACUGAUCCGGGGGAGACUAUUUAGGGGACAAACUGGAAUGAAAAAAAAAAAAAAUCGCUACCCAUAACAUGUGUGCGUAUACAGCCAUAAAAUAAAAAGUCCACACCACA